This 1404-nucleotide ribosomal RNA is filed under the name Semangananus sp. UCR ENT 00081642. RNAcentral's name for it is "SSU rRNA". It matches the Rfam family "Eukaryotic small subunit ribosomal RNA", at positions 447 to 1799 of the family's 1831-position model. Lineage: Eukaryota; Metazoa; Arthropoda; Insecta; Hemiptera; Schizopteridae. The record is from RNAcentral.
ACUCCCAGCACGGGGAGGUAGUGACAAAAAAUAACGAUACGGGACUCAUCCGAGGCCCCGUAAUCGGAAUGAGUACACUUUAAAUUCUUUAAUGAGGAUCUAUUAGAGGACCAGUCUGGUGCCAGCACCCGCGGUAAUUCCAGCUCUAAUAGCGUAUAUUAAAGUUGUUGCGGUUAAAAAGCUCGUAGUUGGUUCUGUGUGCCAUGCUGUUGGUUCACCGCCUGUCGGUGCAACUGACAUGUCAUGGGACGUCCUGUCGGUGGUAAUUAAAGCCUUAUAAUUAGUUAGGUUCGCCUAUUCUAUUUUAUAGGUAACUUUAAUUACCGAUGAAAUCCUGCCGCGGUCCUCUUUAUUGAGUGUCGAGGUGGGCCGACAUGUUUACUUUGAACAAAUUAGAGUGCUUAAAGCAGGCAAAAAUCUGCCUAAAUAGUGGUGCAUGGAAUAAUAAAAUAAGAUCUUGGUUCUAUUUUGUUGGUUUUCGGAAUCCAAGGUAAUGAUCAAUAUGGACAGGCGGGGGCAUUCGUAUUUCGACGUUAGAGGUGAAAUUCUUGGAUCGUCGAAGGACGAACUAAAGCGAAAGCAUUUGCCAAGUAUGUCCAAAUUGAUCAAGAACGAAAGUUAGAGGUCCGAAGGCGAUCAGAUACCGCCCUAGUUCUAACCAUAAACGAUGUCAGCCAGAGAUCCGUAGAUGUUUUUUUCAUGACUCGACGGGCAGCUUCCGGGAAACCAAAGCUUUUGGGUUCCGGGGGAAGUAUGGUUGCAAAGCUGAAACUUAAAGGAAUUGACGGAAGGGCACCACAAGAUGUGGAGCCUGCGGCUUAAUUUGACUCAACACGGGAAACCUCACCAGGCCCAGACAUUGGAAGGAUUGACAGAUCGAUAGCUCUUUCUUGAUUCAGUGGGUAGUGGUGCGUUGGUGGAACGAUUUGUCUGGUUAAUUUCGAUAACGAACGAGACUCUAGCUUACUAACUAGGCGUCUGAUAUUUUUGCUAUCAGCGUCUUUUUUCUUCUUAGAAGGACAGGCGGCAUUAAGCCGCACGAGAUUGAGCAAUAACAGGUCAGUGAUGCCCUUAGAUGUUCUGGGCCGCACGCGCGCUACACUGAAGGAAUCAGCGUGUGUUUCCCUGUCUGAAAGGACCGGGUAACCCGCUGAACCUCCUUCGUGCUAGGAAUUGGGGCUUGCAAUUAUUCCCCAUAAACGAGGAAUAUCUAGUAAGCGUGAGUCAUAAGCUCGCGUUGAUUACGUCCCUGCCCUUUGUACACACCGCCCGUCGCUGUUACCGAUUGAAUGAUUUAGUGAGGUCUUCAGACUGGCAAGUAACUAUUGCCUUUAUGGCAGUACGAUUUUUGCUGGAAAGAUGACCAAACUUGAUUAUUUAGAGGAAACAAAAGUCGUAACAAGG